Molecule: ribosomal RNA, 232 nt
Filed under: uncultured bacterium
Lineage: Bacteria
Description: partial 16S ribosomal RNA
Rfam family: Bacterial small subunit ribosomal RNA
Source: RNAcentral
CGGACGGGUGAGUAAUGUCUGGGAAACUGCCUGAUGGAGGGGGAUAACUGCUGGAAACGGUAGCUAAUACCGCAUAACGUCGCAAGACCAAAGAGGGGGACCUUCGGGCCUCUUGCCAUCGGAUGUGCCCAGAUGGGAUUAGCUAGUAGGUGGGGUAACGGCUCACCUAGGCGACGAUCCCUAGCUGGUCUGAGAGGAUGACCAGCCACACUGGAACCGAGACACGGUCCAG